UACGAAGGUCCCGAGCGUUGUUCGGAAUCACUGGGCGUAAAGGGAGCGUAGGCGGCGUGGUAAGUCAGAUGUGAAAUCCCGGGGCUCAACCCCGGAACUGCAUCCGAUACUGCCAUGCUAGAGGAUUGGAGAGGUAGCUGGAAUUCUUGGUGUAGCAGUGAAAUGCGUGGAGAUCAAGAGGAACACUCGUGGCGAAAGCGAGCUACUGGACAAUAUCUGACGCUGAGGCUCGAAGGCCAGGGUAGCGAAAGGG
This 253-nucleotide ribosomal RNA is filed under the name uncultured bacterium. RNAcentral's name for it is "partial 16S ribosomal RNA". It matches the Rfam family "Bacterial small subunit ribosomal RNA", at positions 524 to 776 of the family's 1533-position model. The record is from RNAcentral. RNAcentral also lists the same sequence under 2 other names.